This 497-nucleotide ribosomal RNA is filed under the name uncultured bacterium. Its description in RNAcentral is "partial 16S ribosomal RNA". It matches the Rfam family "Bacterial small subunit ribosomal RNA", at positions 28 to 507 of the family's 1533-position model. The record is from RNAcentral.
GAUGAACGCUGGCGGCGCGCCUAAUACAUGCAAGUCGAGCGAACGGACGAGAAGCUUGCUUCUCUGAUGUUAGCGGCGGACGUGUGAGUAACACGUGGAUAACCUACCUAUAAGACUGGGAUAACUUCGGGAAACCGUAGCUAAUACCGGAUAAUAUUUUGAACCGCAUGGUUCAAAAGUGAAAGACGGUCUUGCUGUCACUUAUAGAUGGAUCCGCGCUGCAUUAGCUAGUUGGUAAGGUAACGGCUUACCAAGGCAACGAUGCAUAGCCGACCUGAGAGGGUGAUCGGCCACACUGGAACUGAACCACGGUCCAGACUCCUACGGGAGGCAGCAGUAGGGAAUCUUCCGCAAUGGGCGAAAGCCUGACGGAGCAACGCCGCGUGAGUGAUGAAGGUCUUCGGAUCGUAAAACUCUGUUAUUAGGGAAGAACAUAUGUGUAAGUAACUGUGCACAUCUUGACGGUACCUAAUCAGAAAGCCACGGCUAACUACGUG